AGAUGAACGGCUGUGCAAUGGUGAACAGAUUCAUCCCCAGGCACCCAAUCCAUUAUCCUGUCAACAACAGCAGGUCCCUGCCACAGUUAGCAGCAACAUUGGCCAUAAUGAAAUCAUCAGUAAUCCCAAAACUCAUCUCAUCAUACCCAAGGUAAAAGUGCUUAUCUUUUCUUGGACUGUAUGAUAACAUGACAAAACAGUUAAACAACAGGCUUGGACCUCAGUGGAAGACGCAUGUUUUUCUUCAGCAAUGAAUAACCUGUAGUAGCUAUUUCCCUGCAUGUAAUGGAAUUUGACUUAAGAAAAUCAAAGAAAUGGAUCUAUGGCAUUUCAGUGAGAAAUCUGAUUUAGUUUUUACACUGUCAAAUGCUGAAACCAUUUGAUUUCAGCUCUAUUUUUCAUAUAUAUAAAAAAAUCUGUCUUAAAUUCGCUGGGAAAUUAAAUUAAAAUCAGGAAUCUCAUGUUUAUACUCGUCAGGAUAAUUUAUAUGGCUAACAGAUUUUUUUUUUUUUUUUUUUUUUUUGUCGCAUUCGAGCAUUAGUGGCAUUGAGUACCAUUGUUAUUCAAUCGGUAUAGGUUAUCCUCUGCAGGUGAUUGAGCAAAAGUGCUUAAGCGCGCUUUACAAACUUGCUGAGAAUGGAUAAUGUCUUGUAAUAUUUCUCUAUUUAAAGCUGGUUUAUAAUUAAAUAUUUAUUAUUCAUAUAGCCUAGUUUGUUUCGAUUGCAACACUGAAAUGCGCGUAUUAAUAAACUUUUUUUUUGUCAAAUAAAUAAAUCA
This is a long non-coding RNA of Cyprinus carpio (common carp), 777 nucleotides long. NCBI's taxonomy places the organism in Eukaryota, Metazoa, Chordata, Actinopteri, Cypriniformes, Cyprinidae. The record is from Ensembl.